RNAcentral lists this unclassified non-coding RNA (280 nucleotides) under uncultured fungus. RNAcentral's name for it is "partial contains small subunit ribosomal RNA, internal transcribed spacer 1, and 5.8S ribosomal RNA". The stretch from base 1 to 73 matches the Rfam family "Eukaryotic small subunit ribosomal RNA", at positions 1759 to 1831 of the family's 1831-position model. Lineage: Eukaryota; Fungi. The record is from RNAcentral.
GCAAACUUGGUCAUUUAGAGGAAGUAAAAGUCGUAACAAGGUCUCCGUUGGUGAACCAGCGGAGGGAUCAUUACAGAGUUAUUCAAAACUCCCAAACCCAUGUGAACUUACCUUCUGUUGCCUCGGCAGGGCCUAUUGAGGUCAUCGCGACCUCGGUGGUGGCCUGCCGGUGGACUACCAAACUCUUGUUAUUAUUGUGGAACUCUGAGUUACAUAAACUUAAUAAGUUAAAACUUUCAACAACGGAUCUCUUGGUUCUGGCAUCGAUGAAGAACGCAGC